CUCGUAGGCGGUCUGUUACGUCCGCUGUGAAAUCCCAGGGCUUAACCCUGGGCUUGCAGUGGAUACGGGCAGACUAGAGGUAGGUAGGGGAGAAUGGAAUUCCCGGUGUAGCGGUGAAAUGCGCAGAUAUCGGGAGGAACACCGGUGGCGAAGGCGGUUCUCUGGGCCUUACCUGACGCUGAGGAGCGAAAGCGUGGGGAGCGAACA
RNAcentral lists this ribosomal RNA (207 nucleotides) under uncultured bacterium. RNAcentral's name for it is "partial 16S ribosomal RNA". It matches the Rfam family "Bacterial small subunit ribosomal RNA", at positions 568 to 774 of the family's 1533-position model. The record is from RNAcentral.